UACGUAGGGGGCAAGCGUUUGUCCGGAAUCAUUGGGCGUAAAGCGCGUGUAGGCGGCUGAGUAAAGUCUGCUCUGAAAGCCCGGGGCUCAACCCCGGGAGGCGGGUGGAUACUGCUCAGCUCGAGUCCGGAAGAGGAGUGUGGAAUUCCUGGUGUAGCGGUGAAAUGCGCAGAUAAGUCGAGGAGGAACACCAAUGGGCGAAAGGCAGCACCUUCUGGG
Molecule: ribosomal RNA, 219 nt
Filed under: uncultured bacterium
Lineage: Bacteria
Description: partial 16S ribosomal RNA
Rfam family: Bacterial small subunit ribosomal RNA
Source: RNAcentral